RNAcentral lists this ribosomal RNA (449 nucleotides) under uncultured bacterium. RNAcentral's name for it is "partial 16S ribosomal RNA". It matches the Rfam family "Bacterial small subunit ribosomal RNA", at positions 29 to 523 of the family's 1533-position model. The record is from RNAcentral.
AGCGAACGCUGGCGGCAGGCCUAACACAUGCAAGUCGAGCGCCGUAGCAAUACGGAGCGGCAGACGGGAGAGUAACACGUGGGAACGUGCCCUUCAGUUCGGAACAACCCAGGGAAACUUGGGCUAAUACCGGAUACGUCCGUAAGGAGACAGCUUUAUCGCUGAAGGAUCGGCCCGCGUCUGAUUAGCUUGUUGGUGAGGUAACGGCUCACCAAGGCGACGAUCAGUAGCUGGUCUGAGAGGAUGAUCAGGCUCACUGGGACUGAGACACGGCCCAGACUCCUACGGGAGACAGCAGUGGGGAAUAUUGGACAAUGGGCGCAAGCCUGAUCCAGCCAUGCCGCGUGGAGGAUGAAGGCCCUAGGGUUGUAAAGUCCUUUCGGCGGGGAAGAUAAUGACGGUACCCGCAGAAGAAGCCCCGGCUAACUUCGUGCCAGCCGCCGCAGUAA